This 1059-nucleotide ribosomal RNA is filed under the name Salmonella enterica. RNAcentral describes it as "partial 23S ribosomal RNA". It matches the Rfam family "Bacterial large subunit ribosomal RNA", at positions 430 to 1495 of the family's 2925-position model. RNAcentral also lists the same sequence under 1 other name. The record is from RNAcentral. Lineage: Bacteria; Pseudomonadati; Pseudomonadota; Gammaproteobacteria; Enterobacterales; Enterobacteriaceae.
UAUCCUGUCUGAAUAUGGGGGGACCAUCCUCCAAGGCUAAAUACUCCUGACUGACCGAUAGUGAACCAGUACCGUGAGGGAAAGGCGAAAAGAACCCCGGCGAGGGGAGUGAAAAAGAACCUGAAACCGUGUACGUACAAGCAGUGGGAGCACCCUUUGGGUGUGACUGCGUACCUUUUGUAUAAUGGGUCAGCGACUUAUAUUCUGUAGCAAGGUUAACCGAAUAGGGGAGCCGGAGGGAAACCGAGUCUUAAUUGGGCGUUAAGUUGCAGGGUAUAGACCCGAAACCCGGUGAUCUAGCCAUGGGCAGGUUGAAGGUUGGGUAACACUAACUGGAGGACCGAACCGACUAAUGUUGAAAAAUUAGCGGAUGACCUGUGGCUGGGGGUGAAAGGCCAAUCAAACCGGGAGAUAGCUGGUUCUCCCCGAAAGCUAUUUAGGUAGCGCCUCGUGAAUUCAUCUCCGGGGGUAGAGCACUGUUUCGGCUAGGGGGCCAUCCCGGCUUACCAACCCGAUGCAAACUGCGAAUACCGGAGAAUGUUAUCACGGGAGACACACGGCGGGUGCUAACGUCCGUCGUGAAGAGGGAAACAACCCAGACCGCCAGCUAAGGUCCCAAAGUCAUGGUUAAGUGGGAAACGAUGUGGGAAGGCCCAGACAGCCAGGAUGUUGGCUUAGAAGCAGCCAUCAUUUAAAGAAAGCGUAAUAGCUCACUGGUCGAGUCGGCCUGCGCGGAAGAUGUAACGGGGCUAAACCAUGCACCGAAGCUGCGGCAGCGACACUGUGUGUUGUUGGGUAGGGGAGCGUUCUGUAAGCCUGUGAAGGUGUGUCGUGAGGCAUGCUGGAGGUAUCAGAAGUGCGAAUGCUGACAUAAGUAACGAUAAAGCGGGUGAAAAGCCCGCUCGCCGGAAGACCAAGGGUUCCUGUCCAACGUUAAUCGGGGCAGGGUGAGUCGACCCCUAAGGCGAGGCCGAAAGGCGUAGUCGAUGGGAAACGGGUUAAUAUUCCCGUACUUGGUGUUACUGCGAAGGGGGGACGGAGAAGGCUAUGUUGGCCGGG